This 13399-nucleotide long non-coding RNA is filed under the name Populus tremula. RNAcentral's name for it is "long non-coding RNA (PTRE_LNC003427)". The record is from RNAcentral. Lineage: Eukaryota; Viridiplantae; Streptophyta; Magnoliopsida; Malpighiales; Salicaceae.
CAAUAAAUUACAUGAUUCAUGAUAUUCACCAAGUUCAUCUAAAAUGACUUGAUUAUUGAAUAUUACAUUUUACCAAACAAGUUGCUUUUCACAAACGCCCAAGUAUACUGUAAAAAUUCAGCCAAUAACAUUUCUGGGAACCAUUAUAUCUUCCAAUUCCAUCGUUAGCUUUGGCAAUGGAGGCCAUCGAGUUGUAAGCUCUGUAGAAACCUGUCGCAUUGUUGGCCGAUAGUGAGGAUCAGUCUGCAAGCAAGCAAACGCCAGUUUUGCAACAUGUGCCACACCGUCCGCAAGCUCGUUUUCAGGAGGUGGGAGGCGCUGGUCUAAGACAUCCUUCAAGACUGUAUUGUGACCAAUUGGUGAUGAUGAGGAGGUGGAGGCAGAUAACAUCAGAGAUGAUAUGAAAUCGCCAGGAUGCUUUCCCAUCAUUACUUCCAAUGUUAAUACUCCAAAGCUAUACACAUCACAAUUUUCAUCCACUUUCAUUGUGUAUGCCAACUCUGCAAAAGAGGCUGGUCAUGCUAUAUGUUGCUAAAAUAAUUAACUGCACCUAUUUUGUUUUCAAGUGAUUCUGUAAACUAACCUAUUGUAGAAGGUGAUAUUGAAACUUAACUACAUACCUGGAGCUGUGUACCCAAAGGUGCCAGCAAAUGAUGUCCAAUUGGACGAGUCAGGCAUUAGGAGCCUGGCUGUGCCGAAGUCAGAGACAUGAGCCUCGUAUUCUGAAUCCAAAAGAACAUUAUUGCUGGAAAUGUCUCUAUGAAUAAUCGGAGCACAGAGCAGUCAUGGUGCAUGUAGGAUAAAGCAUUGGCUACGCCUUUGAUAAGAUUCAUCCUUUUAUCCCAAUCCAUCUUUCCUGCUUGUUCCUCGUCGUUCAGUACCUUUCUUAAACUUCCCCUUUCCACAAAUUCAUAUACCAAAAAUGAGUGUUUGGCAUGCGAGCAGAAACCAUACAGCUUCACAAUGUUUCGAUGCCGUAUACCCAUGAAGACAUCAAUCUCGCUUCUAAAAGCUUUCAAGCUGCUCAUCUCAACUUCUGGUGUUUGGUGGAAUUUCUUCACGGCGAGGACUUGUUCUGAUGGAAGUACAGCUUUGUAUACAACUCCAUAGCCUCCGGUACCAAUGCAAUAUUUGGAGUCGAAUUCCUCAGUAGCCUCUACGAUGUCCUCGUAGCGCAAAUCCCCACCAGGGCACCAUCUCGCGGUAACAUCUCUUUGUGGUGUUUCCACUAACCUUUUCUUUCUUCUGCUUUGGAAAAAGAUAAGAAAACCUACAAUGAGGCCCAACAAACUACCCAGCAGAGAAAAUACCGUCAAAAAGACAACUUUGGGGCCCACAGUUUUGUUUUUUAUAAGAGCAGAACAAGCCUCCAAACCAGUUGCAUUGCCACACAGGUUGGUGUUGUUGCGAAUUGCUUCAAAUGGUGCCUCGCGAAAGGCUUUGAUGUCAGGAAUGGGGCCCUCUAACUUGUUAUAGGAUACAUCCACUUUAGUGAGGCCUUGCAGUCUACUAAAACUAGUUGGAAUUCGACCAGACAGCAUAUUAUGGGAGAGGUUUAAAACCUCUAGCCGCUGCAGCUGUCCAAGCUCUGGCGCUAUAUCUCCCAUCAGGGAAUUCCAACUGAGAUCAAGACUUUGAAGAGACUGUAAAGACCCCAUCUCGGCAGGAAUACUCCCUGUGAAUCUAUUCUUGCUGAUAUUCAAGAAUAUCAGUUUUGAGCACUCGCCAAGCUGUUUAAGAAUUGUUGCACUAAAAUUGUUCGCGGCCAGGCCAAGCUUUUCGAGAUUAGAUAACGAUGCGACAUCGAAAGGAAUAUCACCUGAAAGGCUGUUAUCGUUGAGUGCAAGUUCAAUCAACUUCAAAUUUCUGAAUUCUUUGGGAAUUCUACCAACUAGUUGAUUUGACGAGAGGUGAAGAACUUGUAGAUGAGUUGCCUUUCCAAGAGCUGCUGGUAUCUCUCCAGAAAUCUUGUUACCAGAAAUCUUGAAGGCCGUUAGAUUGUUAAACUGCUCCCAUUUCAAUGAAAGUUCACCUUGCAAUUCAUUAUCACUCAAAUCCAUGUAGUUCAAAUAAGGAUGUGUGCCAAAAGCUUCAGAUAUGUUUCCACUAAGUUGGUUUCUCUCAAGUCUGAGUCUCAACAAGCUGCUGCAGUUUCUCAAGCUUUUCGGGAUAGGUCCCGUGAAAUAAUUUUGAUCUGCAGCAAAAAAUCUAAGCAAUCCACCAAGGCACACAUCUCGUGGUAGAUUUCCAUAAAAUCUAUUAGAAUAUAUUUGUAAAAAAGACAAAUGUGUAAGGUUGUUCAUUUCUGGAGGAAUGGGACCAAAAAGAUUGUUAUCGGCAAGGUCAAGUGCAGAUAAGUUUCUUAAAUUAUUUAAAGAUAUCGGUAUUGUACCAGUUAGUUUAUUAAAUGACAAAUUUAAAAUGGUGAGAGAUCUCGUCAGGUUUCCAAUAAAAGUAAUGGGACCAGAAAAAUUGUUAUUCCGAAGGUCAAGUUUAGAUAAGCUUCUUAAAUUUUCUAAAGAUGCUGGUAUUGUACCUGUUAGUUUAUUAGAUGACAAAGCUAAAAUAGUGAGAGAUCUCGACAGGUUUCCAAUAAAAGUAAUGGGACCAGAAAGAUUGUUGUUUGCAAGGUCAAGUUUAGAUAAGCUUCUUAAAUUUCCUAAAGAUGUCGGUAUUGUAUCGGUUAGUUUAUUAGAUGACAAACCUAAACCAGUGAGAGUUCUCGUCAAGUUUUCAAUAAAAGUAAUGGGACCAGAAAAACUGUUAUCCCAAAGUAUAAGUUCGGAUAAACUUCUUAAAUUUCCUAAAGAUUUUGGUAUUGUACCGGUUAAUUUAUUAGAUGACAAAUCUAAAAUAAUGAGAGAUCUCGACAGGUUUCCAAUAAAAGUAAUGGGACCAAAAAGAUUGUUGUCUGCAAGGUAAAGUUUAGAUAAGCUUCUUAAAUUUCCUAAAGAUGUCGGUAUUGUACCGGUUAAUUUAUUAAAUGACAAAGCUAAACCAGUGAGAGUUCUCGUCAAGUUUCCAAUAAAAGUAAUUGGACCAGAAAGACUGUUAUUCCAAAGCAAAAGUUCAGAUAAGCUUUUUAAAUUUUCUAAUGUCGGUAUUGUUCCGGUUAGUUUAUUACAUGACAAAGCUAAAGUAGUGAGAGAUACUAAAUUUCCAAUUUCUGGUGGAAUGUUGCCAGAAAUGCUAUUGUAAGACAAGUCAAGGAUGGAGAGGUUAGAAAGGUUACCUAUAUGUGAAGGAAUGGACCCAUAGAGCGAGUUGUUGUCAAGGGUAAGCUCAAUCAAGUUAUGAAAGGAAGAGAAUCUGAAACGAUUAAGCGUACCUCUCAAACUAGAAUCGGACAGACUUAUGUUGCUGACACUACCAGACUUGUCGCAGCUGAUUCCGAACCAGCUGCAAGGACUGUCUCCAGCCCAAGAAGACAGGAGAGACUGGCUUUGGUUGUCAAGAGUGACUUUCCAUUCUAGAAGAACUUCCGCUUCCUUCCUUCCAUUUGCUACUUCAGCAAAAGAAGCGAAGAAGGAAGCAUAAGCAAGUAAGGAAAAAACCAAAAAAGGUGUGGAAAAGAGAAAGAUGUGGGAAGCCAUGGCCUUGGUGGUUUACUUUCUUAAAAAGGAUGUAUAAAAUGAUUUGCCCCGCAUACGUAUAUAUAUGGGAAAGAAAUGAUAGAUUUUCGAGUAAGAUUCGGUGGAGAUGGAUUUUGAUUUUGAAAAAUUUGAAGGUAUUAAUUUUGAAUAUUUUUUUUAUCAAGUCUUAAUUUGUUUUUAAUUUUAUCUUUGGAUCCUAAUCUUGAUUUUUUAUUUUUUUUUCAAAUUUGAUACUCAAUCUCUUGAUUUUUUUUUGUUUUGGAUUCUUUUAUUAAUUUGAUUUUUAUUUUUAAUUUUACCUCUUAAUUAAAAAUUUUAGGCUGUCAUCUUUCUUUUUUUUUCAAAUUAGGUUCUUAUUUUUUUAAUUAUUAUUUUUUUAUCCUUUUAUAUAAUUAAAUUUUUUAUUUAUUUCACUAGUCAACAUUUUAUUUAUUAAUUAGGGAGGUGGUCUUAAUAAUGUUUCUCAAAGCUUUUAGACUUGGCUCGGGAGUCGAUUCGAGGCAAGUACCGAGUCACAAGUCAGGUGGGUUAACUUUAGUUUACCCAAGUCAAUCAAAUCUUUUUAUUUUAUAAAAAAAGUUAAAAUGCAAUCAUUUUAAAAAAAUAAAAAAAAUAAGAAAAUAGUUAAUGAAUUAACCAAAUCAACCAAUUUUUUUAUUUUCUUUUUAUGAUGUUAAGUCAUGAAUUUUCUUUAUUAAAAAUAUAUUGACAUUGUUUUAACAUCAUUUUUUUUAUGUUACAAAAAAGUCAGUUCACUAUAAAAAGAAACUCGUGCCACCUUUCGAGGAAGACAGAUCAAUGAAAGGUGGAGGGCUGGAGGCAGAGGAAGCCACCCAGCCAGUCAGCAUCUUCGUUAGGAGGAGCAUGUGUAGACUAAUUUAAAUUGUUAUUCCAACAUUUAUGUUGAUGGAAUAUUUAAUUGCGUGAUAGCAGGAGCAUGUGUACUAGGCUAGAAGGUAAAUGAAGUAUUUGUUACGAUUAUUAGAAUAUUUAUGUUGGAAUUAGAAUAUAUGUUCACUUUAUCUCUAAGGUGAGUAAAUCAUAUAUAUAUAUAUUGUUUCUAGAAAACGGUUACAGAAGAAGAGGAAAUCAGCUGUGAACAGAUUCUAGAGCUAGGCAGUUAUAAUAAAUCACGUAACAGACCUUCUAGCCUUGGUUCAUCAGGGUUUUAGCUAUGGAUCCAUUCUCGGAUGAUUUUUUUAUGAAAUAUAAGAGAAGUAUUAUUUUGCUGCUUAAUAAGAUUAUUAUAUUCUAUGAUUAAAAAAAAAAACGAAAUCUGAAUAUUAUUAAGAGAUGAAGACUAUUGUAUACUCCCAUUCCUUGACUUGAUCAUUAAUCAAGAUGGAAUAUUCAAUUGCGUUUUAGAAGGAGUAUGUAUAAAGUUAUAAACUAAUAUAAAUUGUCAUUCUAGAAGAGAAAUGAAGUAUUUGUCACAAUUAUUUGAAUACGGACUCAUUCUGACAACUUUUUUUUAAUGAAGUACAGAGAUAUAUUAUUUUGCACCAUUAUGUGGUUCAAAAAAUUAUUAUAUUCCAUGAUUAAAAAAAAUAUAUGAGCCUCUGCACUGGGUGAUCAUCCUUCAAUGCAAUUUUAUAUUAUUUUCUUGCUAAUUAUUUUAUAUUAUUUUCCUACAAAUUUUACAUAAUAUUAUUGCACUUGUUCUAGAACCAGCUAACAUGAACUGUAAGGCCACUACGGCACAAGCAAAAUCUGAAGAAGAAUGAACACCAAAGAUAGCAAUCCACUGUCCCCCAUAUUCUAUAGAGUUAACUUUGAAGUUGUUAUCAUUCCAUAAGACUAAAACACCACCGGAUUUCCCAACAGCAUCUAUAGAAGCCCAUCUAAUAUCCUGUUAUUUCUAAAGAAAGUUGACAAAUUUUUCAAUGCCCGCCUAGUAUUCUCCCAUCCCGAUAUCACAAUAAUCUUUAAAAAUUCAAAUUUUAAAAAGAAUAGAUUUUUAACAUUUUAUUUUUUGAUAAAAAAAUAUCUUGUUUAAGAAGUCGUCAUCUAAUAUUAUAAUCACUAAAAACCCUAACUGGUCAAUAAAGAUUUUAUAAUACGAAACUGGUUAAGCAAAAAAGAAGAUAUUAUCAUUCUUUAAACAUUCUACUUAAGGUAGGUUGUAUUACUUGUUUUGUCUUGAAUUGCUAAAAGAUUUUAUAAUACGAAACUGGUUAAGCAAAAAAAAAGAUUUUGUUUCAUUAUAAAUGCACGCGUAAGACUGUCCCCCAUAUUCUUUGGAGUCAACUUUGAAGUUGUUAUCAUUCCAUAAGACUAAAACACCUCCAGAUUACCCAACAGCAUCUAUAGAAGUCCAUCUAAUAUCCUGUUAUUUCUAUAGAAAGUUGACAAAUUUUUCGGUGCAAGCUGCCCACCUAGUGGGAUCGCGACCAACUUUAAUAAUUUAAUUUUUUAAAAAAAAAUACGAGACUCUGCAUUGGGUGAUCAUCCUUCAACCAUUUUAAUUUAUAUUAUUUUCUUGUUUUUUCUCCUAGUUUUUCAUUUCUUGUGUUAAACAACAAAUCCAACUCUUUAUCUCCCUUAAUUACCCUAAUUAUUUUAGGUUUUAUCUAUGAUGUAAAAUCCAAACUUUACAAUUAAUAUAGCCAGCUUGUAUCCCACCAUUCCAUGACUCCUGAUUAUUAAGAGAUGAAGACUAUUUGUAUACUCCCAAUCCUUGACUUGGAUAUUAAGUUAGUUUAGAUUCUCAUAAAUUUGAAAUUUUAAAGUAGGAUCUUUUUUAUAUACCGGUCAUGAAUCUAGAAAUUAGAUUGUUAUAAAUUAAGUGCGUUUUAGGAGGAGUAUUUGUAAACUAAUUUAAAUUGCAAUUCUAAAAGGAAAAUAAAGUAUUUUUCAUGAUUAUUAGAAUACUUGUUUUAGGGUUUCAGCUAUGAACCCAUUCUGAUAACUUCUUUUUUUUAUGAAAUACAGAGAUAUAUUAUUUUGCACCAUUAUGUGCUUCAAAAAAAUUAUUAUAUUCCAUGAUUAAAAAAAUGUCAGACUCUGCAUUGGGUGAUCAUCCUUCAAUGCAUUUCUAAUUAUUUUUACUAACUGUGCUAUUUCAAAAUAAACAUUUAUAUAAAAAGGCAGAAAAUUUAAUUUCGUUUUGAGAGGUGUAGACUAGGGGUAUGAGUGUUACUCUUGCAUAAAAGUUUGUACCAGGUGGCAAGUUUCUUUUGGACAGGUACAAGUAAGAAGAUUGAAUAUUCAAUUGCGUCCUAAGAGCGGUUGAACAGUACUAUCAACGAAGAUUGAAUAUUCAAUUGCGUACUAAGCGGGGUUGAACUUCGUUUUCUUCUUCUUGUUUUUUUUUUUUUUGGUAAUAAUCGAAUUUUAAUAAAAAGAAGCUAAAUAGCUCGAUGUGCAAGCUCUUUGAAACGAUACUGACAGUCCUUCCACUGCUAUAUCAAAAUUUAACUAUAAUCAACAUUAAACUUUCUUAUUUCUUCAAUUAACAUCCUGAUAACUCCAAGUUCAAAUAAAUCCCAAUACUAAUUAAUUCAUCAAUUAAACUUUUAAUUUCACAAAUUAGAUUAAUCCAAAAUUUAAUUAAAUUUUCAAACUUUCAAUUUAUCAUCUUAACUCAAAUUUCAAUUUAUUCUAUUUUCAUUUUUUUCAUCGUCAUUUUUAUUAUUUUUAUAUAAAGUAAGAAAAAUAUGAAGAUUUGUGUUAGGUACUAUUUAUUAUUUCUUUCUUUAGACGUGACAAAUGAUGUUAUUUGAUCUUUCAGGACGAGUUUGGUUUGAUUGUGGAAAUUUUGUUCAUCAUUAUUGUACGGUCUUUGUGUUGGAAUUUGGAUUGUUUAUUACUCUCCAAAAAAAAUAUGUAGUAGAAAGGAAAUUGAUACAAAUGAAGGCAAUAAAUUACAUGAUUCAUGACAUUCACCAAGUUCAUCUAAAAUGAUGCUUUGGACGGAAUAUCUAACAUAGACUUGAUUAUUAUAUUUUGCCAAACAAGUUGCUUUUCACAAACGCCCAAGUAUACUGUAAAAAUUCAGCCAAUAACAUUUCUGUGAACCAUUAUAUCUUCCAAUUCCAUCGUGGAGAAUAGCUUUGGCCAUCAAGUUGUAAGCUCUGUAGAAACGUGUCGCAUUGUUGGCCGAUAAUGGGGAUCGGUCUGCAAGCAAGCAAACACCAGUUUUGCAACAUGUGCCACACCGUCAGCAAGUUUGUUUUCAGGAGGUGGGAGGCGCCGGUCUAAGACAUCCUUCAAGACUGUAUUGUGACCAAUUGGUGAUGAUGAGGAGGUGGAAGCAGAUAACAUCAGAGAUGAGAUGAAAUCGCCAGGAUUCUUUCCCAUCAUUACUUCCAAUGUUAAUACUCCAAAGCUAUAAACAUCAUAUUUUUCAUCCACUUUCAUUGUGUAUGCCAACUCUAAAGAGACUGUAAAGACUUUGAAUAGACUGUAAAGACCCCAUCUCAGCAGGAAUACUCCCUGUCAAUCUAUUCUUGUUGAUAUUCAAGAAUAUCAGUUUUGAGCACUUACCAAGCUGUUUAAGAAUUGUUCCGCUAAAAUUGUUCGCGGCCAGGAUGCUUUCCCAUCAUUACUUCCAAUUGGUGAUGAUAAAAUUAUUUUAAUAUAUUUUUAAAAAGCAACUAACACUAUCAAAUCAUACGCUACCUUGCAGACACUAUCUCAAAAUAUGCCAUAGGAGAAAUCUAUUCUCUUUCAAUAGCAAAUGCCAUUAUUCCUCCACCAAACAGAGACUGGGAGAAUACUACUGCAGUCUUCUGGUUUGAUAGAAGACAAAAGUUUUGGCAAUCAUGAUCCUACGUGGACAACACGGAUGCAAUCAAAGAAUGCAUUGCUGUGAUCUUUCUGUGCCUUUUCUUUACUUAUUUUAACACAAUCACUUAAACAAUUAUUUUGGAAUAUGGUCCCUGCACUUGUAAUGCAAAUUACCCAACACGAUAAUAUUAUUCCCACCUGUCCAUCCAUGGAGUUUUUUAAUCGUAUCCUUCAUCCACCAAGAAUCUUGAGAGAGAGAAAAAUAAUAGCGAUGGAAGAAAAAACUCAACAUGUAAUUUUAUACACGCAUGGCACAGGUCAACCAAGAUUCAAAGGUCAUGCCUUGCCAAAAACCUCAUGAUUUCAGUUCAGAAGAAAACAACAAUACUCCAGGGGAUGAUUAAUUUCUCCUGCAGACCAGGAUAUUGUAAGAACUGACAGAAACAAAUUUACGAGCCUUUGACAAUGCAGAGCUCCCUGUGCAUCGCGCGUAAAGAAGGAGAUUUGAUGGUAUGGCAGCAUGGACAUGCAUGGAUUCUGCAGAUGGUGCUUGGUGGUCAAGAUCUAAUUAAACUUAGGCUGGCCAUCCAAUAGAAAAGUUGAUUGAUCACAUCAAAGAGGUCCUGAUCACAGCAAAAUAAGAUAGACAGUUGCGUCUGAAGAGGUGUAGAAUACUAUGGUCUUCCAUUCAUGACUGGAUUUCUUUGGGUUUCAGCUAUGGUGAUGUUUCCCAUGAAAUUCAUGUCGUUAAUUUGCUGUUGGUUCGAAAGGAGAUUAGGAGCGUUCUUGGCACUUCUUUGAACUGAUUUUAUUUUGUUUGUAGAAAUUCAUCUCUCUAGCUCUCUCAGCCUAGCCUCUGUUUAACAUGAUCCGCGGAAAGUAGUCGUAAUUCUAAAAUUAUUUUUAAAAUUAUCAGCAGUAUGUGUAGACUAAUACGGGGAUUAUUGUAUAAUUUUUCAUUUUCAUUUCGUGAACAUUUUGUGUGACAAUCAACAUUAAUCAAGAUGGAAUAUUCAAUUGCGUCACAGAAGGAGUACGUGGAGACUAAUUUAAAUUGUCGUUCUAGAAUACUUGUGUUGGGGUUUCAACUACGGACCCAUUCUCUGAUUAUUUUUGUUUAUGAAAUAUAAGAAAUAUAUUAUUUUGCACCAUUAUGUGCUUAAUAAAAUUAUUAUAUUCCAUGAUUAAAAAAAAUACGAGACUGUGCAUUGGGUGAUCAUCCUUCAAGGAUUUUUUAUAUUAUUUUCUUGUUGUUUCUCCUAGUUUUUCAUUGCUUGUGUUAAACAACAAAUCUAACUCUCUUUAAUCUUUAUCUCCCUUAAUUACCCUAAUUAUUUUAGGUUUUAUCUAUGAUGUGAAAUGCGAAAUUUACAAUUAAUGAUAGCUAGCUGAUUGGUAAGAGAUGAAGACUAUUUGUAUAAUGCCAAUCAUUGACUUGGAUGUUAAGAGGGUUUUUCUCCUAGUUUUUCAAUUAAUAAUAGCUAGCUUGUACCCCACCGUUCCAUGACUCCUGAUUAUUAAGAGAUGAAGACUAUUUGUAUCCUCCCAAUCCUUGACUUGGAUGUUAAAAGCGUUAUUACUUUUAUAUUUUAAAAGUGUUUUAAGAAAAAUUAUUAUUAUUAUUUAUAUUUUUAGAUUGAUUUGAUGUGUUGAUAUUAAAAAUAAAUUUUAAAAUAUAAAAUAAUAUUAUUUUAAUGUAUUUCAAAACAAAAAAAGCACUUCAAAAAAAAUCAUUGUCACAAUCACUACAACAUUUAAUAAUUUUAUUGGCAGAAUUUUUUUGUCGGCGUGAGAUUUACGAUUCCGUCGGUGAAAGUUUUACUAACUAAUUUAUUGAUGGAAUCCGUCCGUUGAAAUAACAUUUGUUGAUAGUUUCAUUAUUUAUCACUAAUUAUGGUGGUAAAAAAACCGAUAGUUUUACGUACAGAAAAUAAUAGUUAAAAAAAUAAAAUUCGCUUAAUUUCACCAGUAUUUCCCUUGAAAAAAUUGACAUAUAACAAAAAAAAUUGGAAUGACAAUAUUUACAUGCAUGGUUAGCCUUCAGACGAGAGCCAUGGAUGAAAACUUGUAGAAAGAAAAUUAGGAGCAUUGGCCACCAGUGAGCUGUAGAUAUUCAAGUCAAUCACAAGUCAUCCCACUACAAGACUUUAGGAUAGGACCAAUAAUUGAAACCAAUAAAGGUUCUGUUGGCAAUUAAAUAUAUAUUGAUGGUAUAAUUUUACGAUUCAACUCACGAUGUUGAACACCAUUGAUUUUGUUGGCAAAAGAAAAGGCAAAGAAACAGCUCUUAAAGAAAAAAGCAAAUCAAGUACGUCAUAAAUGAUACUAGGCAGAUGAAGUCAAGAUCUGGUUCUGUUGGCAAAAGAAAAGGCAAAGCAAAGCAGAACAAUCCAACAAACUUACAGCUCAGAGAGUGAUUUGUGACUAUUAGUCUGGCUGCCAUUCUACAGCCAUUGGUGAAAACAAUCAGGCAGAAAAUAGACUGCUCUGGCGCCCUUUUCUUCUUCUUUUAAUUUUAUUAUUAUUUCUUUCUUCUUCUUCUUUUUUUACAUUAGGGCAAUUUUCUUAGAAUCUCUGACAAUUAUGUUUCCGGAACAGUUUGUAGGAUAUGAACCUAACCCCACAAAUUGAGGUGACUUAAAAAUAACAUUCGUAUGCUCAAAAUGAAAAAAGAAAAAGAAAAACGAGAGUAAAGAUGCAAUACUUUUCAUCGGUUUUCCUUUGUGUGUAUAUUCAUUUCCAUCUUGCAUGGGAGAUCUAUAACUGAUAAAUCGGUGUAGAGGUAUUCUCAAUACUCGUCAAGUGACUUGUUGAAGAUUUUACUUGAGGUUUUUCCAAAAGUAUAUGUUCAUGUUAAGCAGUUUCAAUUUCCUUGUUCACUUUUUUCAAAUUCCUUGUUCUAAGCAGUUUCAAUUUCCUUGUUCACUUUUUUCAAAUUCCUUGUUCACAGUUUCCCAGAUCGAUUCAGCAAAAACAUUCAGUUCCUGUAUGUCACCCAUAGUGUACGCAUCCUGCGGCUGUUUCUGGGAACAUAAAUUCAACUUGUAGAUCCAGUGGAUGAGGUUUUGAGGUCUGGUGGUCGUUAUACUCUGAACUACCACAGUUUGUUCUAUUUCCAGAAAUUUUAUUCUUCAAUAUAAACAUAAUCAUAUUGUGUUAGUAUUUGGCUUUGUAUAUCAUAAUAAAAAGUUCUUAGUUUAUUGUAAAAUAAUUAUUCAAUUUAAAAAUUUAAACUCUAACAUCAAUUUAAACAACCAUUCAACCUAAAAAUAUCCCUUAAACUACAAGUAAAAGCAGAAACAAAUCAAAUAAUAAUAAUAAUAAUAAUAAUAAUAAUCUCUCGAAUUAAAUCAAUUAAUACCAAUUCCUAUGUUUCAAAUCAACUGCCACAACGUUCCUAUUCGUCUUGAAAAUUGCUUUCUACGGGAACAGCCUUUUUAUCCACAACAGACGCUUCAUGAGGGUCUCGUAACUUCUGCUUUGCUUCAAGUAGUCCAUUAUUAUUAGACUUCAGUUUUUGAAUCCCCACUUCACUGGGAUUUUUUCAGCUGUUAUAUUCGACUAGGGUUCUGUUGGAGUUUGCCUGAGGGCUAAGGUAAGGUAUACGAGAACAUCUUUCUUUAGUUGUUGCGAAGGGCUUUGGAUGUUCUUUUUUUUGGAGUUUCUUGAUCUUGGAAAGAUACUAACGGAUUUUCUCAGAGAAGCAGGGAUUGGCAACAAGGGUGUUCUAGAGUGUUGUAGAUUCUUAUCCAAGACUUGUAUCAUUUGAUGAUGUCAUGUGAAUUACUAGAAAUAUGUAAAGUGUAUGGCUAACCCAAUAAUGAAAGUUUCGUAAGGAACUGAAGCAGGCAACCAUGAGGCAAGAUCUAUUAGAUUUUUUGAAGCCCAGAGGGAAAGAUACAGAGACGCUCUGUUUUUGUUUGAUAAACAUAGACUUUUUUUUACUGUAGGUUUGGCCUUGUCUCAAUUCAGGAAAUCCCACUUAUAAUUCAGCAUAAUCGCGUAAACCCUUGAAAACUUUUGAAAAUUACAAAAUGUUUUGAUGCCAAGGCACGUUGGCCUUCCAGGUACAAAAUUAACCUGAACCUUGAAAUAAAAUUAUGCCUACAAUUCUACAACAGAGUUUUUGAACAGAAGCAGCAUUCCUAUCACAGGGCUGGGAAGAAUAGGGGGACGAUCCAUUCAAGAGUUAAGACCUUGCAGUUUUGAAUUUUUAAUACGAGGUUUUUUAGAUUCAAAUCCUGGAAAAGUUCGAGGGGGUAGAGAUUUGAGAUUAGAGGAUAUGGCUUUGUCCUAUUUUUAAUACGAGGUUUUUGCAACGUGUGAUUUAAAGAUUUGUGUUAGGUAUUACUUAUUUGUUUGUUUCUAAGAGGGAAGCCCUCUUUAGACCCGGAGGAUUAAGUAUGGAAUUUCAACGUGACAAAUGACGUUAUUUGAUCUUUCAGGACGAGUUUGGUUUGAUUGUGGAAAUUUUGUUCAUCGUUAUUGUACGGUCUUUGUGUUGGAAUUUGGAUUGUUUAUUACUCUCCAAAGAGAAAAUGUAGUAGGAAGGCAAUUGAUACAAAUGAAGGCAAUAAAUUACAUGAUUCAUGACAUUCACCAAGUUCAUCUAAAAUGAUGCUUUGGACGGAAUAUAUAACAUAGACUUGAUUAUUGAAUAUUACAUUUUGCCAAACAAGUUGCUUUUCACAAACGCCCAAGUAUACUGUAAAAAUUCAGCCAAUAACAUUUCUGCGUACCAUUAUAUCUUCCAAUUCCAUCUUGGAGAAUAGCUUUGGCAAUGGAGGCCAUCGAGUUGUAAGCUCUGUAGAAACCUGUCGCAUUGUUGGCCGAUAGUGAGGAUCGGUCUGCAAGCAAGCAAACGCCAGUUUUGCAACAUGUGCCACACCGUCAGCAAGCUCAUUUUCAGGAGGUGGGAGGCGCUGGUCUAAGACAUCCUUCAAGACUGUAUUGUGACCAAUUGGUGAUGAUGAGGAGGUGGAGGCAGAUAACAUCAGAGAUGAGAUGAAAUCUCCAGGAUGCUUUCCCAUCAUUACUUCCAAUGUUAAUACUCCAAAGCUAUACAUAUCACAUUUUUC